AGUGAACGCUGGCGGUAGGCCUAACACUUGCAAGUCGAACGGCAGCACAGUAAGAGCUUGCUCUUACGGGUGGCGAGUGGCGGACGGGUGAGGAAUACAUCGGCAUCUACUUUUUCGUGGGGGAUAACGUAGGGACACUUACGCUAAUACCGCAUACGACCUACGGGUGAAAUCAGGGGAUCUUCGGACCUUGCCCGAUUGAAUGAGCCGAUGUCGGAUUAGCUAGUUGGCGGGGUAAAGGCCCACCAAGGCGACGAUCCGUAGCUGGGCUGAGAGGAUGAUCAGCCACACUGGAACUGAGACACGGUCCAGACUCCUACGGGAGGCAGCAGUGGGGAAUAUUGGACAAUGGGCGCAAGCCUGAUCCAGCCAUACCGCGUGGGUGAAGAAGGCCUUCGGGUUGUAAAGCCCUUUUGUUGGGAAAGAAAAGCAGCAGGUUAAUACCCCGCUGUUCUGACGGUACCCAAAGAAUAAGCACCGGCUAACUUCGUG
This 492-nucleotide ribosomal RNA is filed under the name uncultured bacterium. RNAcentral's name for it is "partial 16S ribosomal RNA". It matches the Rfam family "Bacterial small subunit ribosomal RNA", at positions 29 to 507 of the family's 1533-position model. The record is from RNAcentral.